UACGAGAGCCCCGAGCGUUAUCCGGAAUUAUUGGGCGUAAAGGGUGUGUAGGCGGUCAUGUUAGUCUUGUGUGAAAUCCUGUCGCUUAACGACAGACCCGCACAGGAAACGGCACGACUAUAGAAGGUGCAAGAGGUGUACGGAACUCAUGGUGUAGGGGUGAAAUCCGUUGAUAUCAUGGGGAACGCCAAAAGCGAAGGCAGUACACUGGUGCAUUCUUGACGCUGAGACACGAAAGCGUGGGUAGCGA
RNAcentral lists this ribosomal RNA (250 nucleotides) under uncultured bacterium. RNAcentral's name for it is "partial 16S ribosomal RNA". It matches the Rfam family "Bacterial small subunit ribosomal RNA", at positions 524 to 771 of the family's 1533-position model. The record is from RNAcentral.